UGAAUACGAGACGCUAAGGCGUCGAAGUAGUGUAUGUCAUACUUCCAAGAAAAGCUUGCACUGUCAUAGAUAAAAAACGCCUUUACCAUAACCGACACAGGUGGGUAGGUAGAGUAUACUAAGGGGCGCGAGAUAACUCUCUCUAAGGAACUCGGCAAAAUAACUCCGUAACUUCGGGAGAAGGAGUGCCUUAUUCUUAAGGUUGCAAUAACAAGAUCCAAGCAACUGUUUAUCAAAAACACAGGUCUCCGCUAAGUCGUAAGACGAUGUAUGGGGGCUGACGCCUGCCCAGUGCCAGAAGGUUAAAAAAGCUGGUUAGCAUUUGCGAAGCUAGUAACUGAAGCCCUGGUGAACGGCGGCCGUAACAAUAACGGUCCUAAGGUAGCGAAAUUCCUUGUCGGGUAAGUUCCGACCCGCACGAAAGGCGUAAUGAUUUGGAUACUGUCUCGGAGAGGGGCUCGGUGAAAUAGACUUGUCUGUGAAAAUGCGGACUACCUGCACCAGGACAGAAAGACCCUAUGAAGCUUUACUGUAACUUGAAAUUGAAAUUGGACUUUAUUCGCGCAGUAUAGGUGGGAGGCGUUGAUUAUAAUCUUGCGGGAUUAUUGGAGCCAUUAGUGAGAUACCACUCUUGUAAUGUUAGAUUUCUAACUUUGAAUCAUUAUCUGGUCAAAGAACAGUUUCAGGCGGGCAGUUUGACUGGGGCGGUCGCCUCCCAAACGGUAACGGAGGCGUACAAAGGUUUCCUCUGAACGGUUAGAAAUCGUAUCUAGAGUGUAAAGGCAUAAGGAAGCUUGACUGUGAGACCUACAAGUCGAGCAGGGACGAAAGUCGGUCUUAGUGAUCUGACGGUACUGAGUGGAAAGGCCGUCACUCAACGGAUAAAAGUUACUCUAAGGAUAACAGGCUGAUCUCCCCCAAGAGUUCACAUCGACGGGGAGGUUUGGCACCUCGAUGUCGGCUCAUCGCAUCCUGGGGCGGUAGUACGUCCCAAGGGUUGGGCUGUUCGCCCAUGAAAGCGGUACGCGAGCUGGGUUCAGAACGUCGUGAGACAGUUCGGUCCAUAUCCGGUGUAGGCGUUAGAAUAUUGAGAGGAGCCUUCUUUAGUACGAGAGGACCGAGAAGGACAUACCUCUGGUGUACCAGUUAUCGUGCCAACGGUAGACGCUGGGUAGCUAUGUAUGGAGUGGAUAACCGCUGAAAGCAUCUAAGUGGGAAGCCCACCUCAAGAUAAGUAUUCUCAUC
Molecule: ribosomal RNA, 1245 nt
Filed under: metagenome
Description: bacterial LSU rRNA
Rfam family: Bacterial large subunit ribosomal RNA
Source: RNAcentral